GGCGUCUUUGGCGUCCGAGUUGUAAUUUGCAGAGGGCGCUUUGGCAUUGGCAGCGGUCCAAGUUCCUUGGAACAGGACGUCACAGAGGGUGAGAAUCCCGUACGUGGUCGCUAGCYUUACCGUGUAAAGCCCCUUCGACGAGUCGGAGUUGUUUGGGAAUGCAGCUCUAAAUGGGAGGUAAAUUCUSUAAGCUAAAUACUGGCCCAGAGACCGAUAGCGCWCAAGUAGAGUGAUCGAAAGAUGAAAAGCACUUUGGAAAGAGAGUUAAAAAGCACGUGAAAUUGUUGAAAGGGAAGCGCUUGCAGCCAGACUUGCYUGUAGUUGCUCAUCCGGGUUUUUACCCGGUGCAYUCUUCUACGGGCAGGCCAGCAUCAGUUUGGGCGGUUGGAUAAAGGUCUCUGUCACGUACCUCCUCUCGGGGAGAUCUUAUAGGGGAGACGACAUGCAACCAGCCUGGACUGAGNUCCGYGCAUCUGCUAGGAUGCUGGCGUAAUGGCUGUAAGCGGCCCGUCUUGAAACACGGACCAMGGAGUCUAACAUCUAUGCGAGUGUUUGGGUGUCAAGCCCGAGCGCGUAAUGAAAGUGAACGGAGGUGGGAACCUUUCGGGGUGCACCAUCGACCGAUCCUGAUGUCUUCGGAUGGAUUUGAGUAAGAGCAUAGCUGUUGGGACCCGAAAGAUGGUGAACUAUGCUUGAAUAGGGUGAAGCCAGAGGAAACUCUGGUGGAGGCUCGCAGCGGUUCUGACGUGCAAAUCGAUCGUCAAAUUUGGGCAUAGGGGCGAAAGACUAAUCGAACUAUCUAGUAGCUGGUUCCUGCCGAAGUUUCCCUCAGGAUAGCAGUAACGUUUUCAGUUUUAUGAGGUAAAGCGAAUGAUUAGAGGCCUGGGGGUUGAAACAACCUUCACCUAUUCUCAAACUUUAAAUAUGUAAGAAGUCCUUGUUACUUAAUUGAACGUGGACAGUGAAUGUAUCG
This 973-nucleotide ribosomal RNA is filed under the name Phoma sp. DB5756. Its description in RNAcentral is "LSU rRNA". It matches the Rfam family "Eukaryotic large subunit ribosomal RNA", at positions 124 to 1119 of the family's 3401-position model. Lineage: Eukaryota; Fungi; Ascomycota; Dothideomycetes; Pleosporales; Didymellaceae. The record is from RNAcentral.